CUGCAUUUUGACUGCCCUCCUCUCUUUCCAGAACGUCCUCUUUUUCCUUCCCUCAUCUGCCCUCGAAGGAAUCCUGUCACCUCUCCAGGGGCCUUUUCCCAAAGGACUUGUGAGCAAGCAGGCCAUGUCCUUUGGAAGUCUGAUCAUUCUUGUGCUCUUUGGCAUUUCUUCCAACUUUUCCACAUCUCUCUUGAGCUGCUGGUACUUUAGAUGAAGCCUUACUGGUGUGAAAUGGUUUGGACAGAUUCCUGUGUCUUCUGUGCAAUACUUCUGUUAAGUGCCUUGGUAUCAUCUUUGCUUUGCAGCUGUACGAUAUUGUUGACUCACGCUGUGCUUGUAAAUGAAAUAACAACUUGGGCUUCAAUUCUGUUUGUGGUAUUUCACAUGCAGAAACAAAGCAAGCUGGCAUUUAGCAUCACUCUUGCUAAUCUCAUGUCUCAUUCUCCUACUCCAGAAUUUAACGCAAGUAGCCUUUUAUGGAGGGAAGUAUUUAAAUGCUGCCCAUCAGUGAGGAAGAGUGUUUGGGAGCUCAACAGAUCCCUCAGUGGUUGUCCUGAAUUUCUGAAUUUCUAAUGUCUCAGAAGACUCAUUAUUAAUACCCAAAAAUAGCCAGAUGGCAUGAAACAGUAAAGGCCAAAUAAUUCAUCAUUCUACAGACUUGCGAUGGACUGGCCCCCAGAAAAAUCCACAAUGGUUGAAAAUCUUUUCAUGUGCUGCAGGUAAGACAGUUCCUUCAUUUGUAACAUUGCAGAGUUGGGUUUCUAAAUGCUGCAGUGAAAUGUAAACUGCUAAUAAAAUCCUGGUCUUGACAGGUAAAAGUCACUCUUUUCUGGAACUGUUUUAUAAACCUUUUACUUUAUGCUUCACAACAUAGCAGUGUUUCUUUAAAAAGAAUACCAUCACAAGCACCCUACAGCUAAACCAUGAAGAACAGUUAAUUGCCCUUCAACUAAAAUAACUCCAUGAGCAAUCAAUCGAUGAAGAACUGAGAGUAGCACUAUUUGUCAGUCAUCUGCAGCCAGCUGACUCUUUGGAGGCCACCACUGCUGCCUUCAUUGGAUUAUUGGGUCACAAAUAGACCCAAUAAUCAGCCCAGCCAUUCACAUGCAACACAGCAACUACAUGACACGUGUUGUGCUCAUUCCUCCAGAUUGUUGUCAUAUGGCUGUUGAUUGUGCAUGACAAACACAUGAAAAAGCCAUUUCUCAGGCUUGAUGAUCCAGUCUGCCCAGGCUUGGUUUGGUGGCCAGUUGAAUGACAUGAAAAGUUGCAGCUGGAGGUGACAGGAUGGGAAGAAUGAUAGAAAUUCUAAUGAGUAUUCUUACAAAUCCCCAGGAGACAGCUCAUGCUGGGGCACCCAGCUCAGGUGCUUGUGAAAUCAGCUGUUAUUUCAUGUAAGCCCAAUAGUUGUGGUGUUAUUUGUAUUAUUUUAAUUCUUUUGUUUCAAGCUGAUGACCAGUUUGGAGGUUACUGAGUUGCCUGUGCUACAUGAUGGUGCUAGACAUGGUCUUGAUGAAGUCCUGUUUAUUUAUGAAGCAUGAAAAAGUCUUCUUUCCUAGAAUGCUGGGUUAAGUAAAGCUCAGACUUUGCACAGUGCUUUGACCAAGGCCAGUGUUUUGACAAAUAUAACCAGCAAAAGCGCACUCUCAAAGUUUCCUCUUGCAUCAGCAGACACAAAAAGGCAUUUUCCUUUCUCCCUCUGUCCCUGACAUGUGCACGUGUUUGGGUUUUAUCUCUCACACAAACACAAAGCUCCAGAUUUCAAAUGCCCUUUUUGCACUUUCUGUGUCAGCCUCAAGGGAAGCCAUGCGAAUAAUGCGCAAUGUACAGAAGCUUUGCUAUGUGCCUGUCAUUGUUUCAGCUCUCUGAUUCUAGAGAGAUAUUUGUUAGUCUUUUUGUGCUUAUUUUAAGGAACAGUUAUGGUUACCCACCAAUUUCUGUGAAUUUCCAUGAAACGGAUCUUCAUUCCAGCUUAGCAAGACAUUCACACCAGUAAUUUGAACACUGGUUUUACCUAAACAUUUCCAAUAACACAUUUUGAGGGUGCAUCAUUCUUUUUAGGGUCUUCAUAUUUCCUUGUUCUGAAAACCAGCCUUCCUCCCUGGUAUAUUGAGCACAUAUGCUUGCUGCCUGGACUGGUUUUGUACAUUUUAUCUUUGUAUUUAUUUCCUUGUGUGAAAAUGGGCAUUUUGAACAAUAGGAUACCAUGUGUGGCACAUGGUGAGAUCUGAAAGCCUUAAUUUUAAAAACAAUUACAUCCUAAAUGCAUCUGUCAAGCAAGUGGAAAACCUCUGUGUCAAGUAGGGCUGACAAAAGAGAUGAAGAUGUAAUUGCUUCUGGUUUAGUCUAUUUUCUUCAUGAGGUUUAAAGCCUUUCCUGGUGGUCCUUGGGUGGUUCCCUGCAUCCCACUGACUUGCUCCAAUGGACUGAAUAAAUCAUUUUAUCUUUGUGCACAGAUAAUGGCAGUUUUUACCUCCACUGGGUGUCAAGAGGCCAAUGUGCAGAGUGUAUGUCAACUACAAGAAGUUGCUUAUUAUGGUCAUUGCAGGCAAAAUGCCAGGAGCUGCUAAUUGGACAAAAUGGAGAA
Pezoporus flaviventris is the source of this 2587-nucleotide long non-coding RNA. RefSeq lists it as uncharacterized. The record is from RefSeq and is a predicted model, not a curated record. The transcript has 3 exons. Lineage: Eukaryota; Metazoa; Chordata; Aves; Psittaciformes; Psittacidae.